CAAGGCUCGCGGCGGUUCUGUCGAGGGUGCCGGAGGUGUUCAUGGGACCCGCGGCUGCCGCUGUUUUUCGGUUGCUAGAAAUGGUGGCCCGCUUCGUACCGGAGUGAGCGGAGCUGGUGUGAAGGGUAUCGGAGCCACUGCGGCCUUGGAGGACCUCGACGGUAGCCCUUGUUGAGAAGUGCCAGAAUGCUUCAGCUGUGGAGAAAGCCAGUGAUGAAUAAACAAGUUUUUACAUGGAUCUUCUACAGCAUUUGCUAACCUCCUGUGGAAACCAUGGUCUUACUAAUUAAAAUCCAGAAAGAAACUUCAUUGUUUAGUGUUGUACAGUGGCAGGUCAUGCUGAUGCCUUUCUAAGUGCAUUUCUUUCAUCAAUUUCAUUUUAACAGAACAUUUCUGAUACCCUGGUAUAUGAAGCCAGGAUCUAUAAUCAGCAGUUAGAGGUGGUGAAAACCCUGGAUAAAGCUGCGAUUGCUCUGCCAGAGAAAGCAAAACUAAGGCAGGAAUUGCUCCUGGCACUGUGAUCUAGCCCAUGUUCUGAAAGGCUUCAGCAGGGGAAGUUCUUCAGCACUGGUCCCGGAGGUUGCUGCUCUUUUGACAGCUCCCAUCACCUCAUCACUGCUGAAGACUAGGUGAGAAUUGUCUAGUUCCUACUGGGGCCUAAUCAGGGAUUAGGUAGCAUGGGAUGAAUUGUUUUGGCGGGUCACUCAAGGUUCAGACUGAGAUGUGGAUCACUCAUGAGGCUCGGGCUGGGUAGGGAAGGCAGAACAGAUUGUCUGCCUGGACUCUUGAAAUUUCCAGCUUUGCUGUCUUACAUCGUGUGGGAUCCUCUAAGUAGCUCUGGAGCUAGAUUAACAUGGAACAAGUUCCCUGAGACUUGCACAGCUGUGUUUGCAAGCCGAGCUGUUGAAGUGUGCUUGUGUGUAUAAGACACUACUUCCUGACUCCAUUAACUUGAAGAGAAGCUUCUGCUUGAGGAGGUUACUAUGAUAUCAUACUACAGAAACCUCGCUCUUGCUAAUCAAAAUCCUGGAAGAAACUUCUUUGUUUAGUGCAGUGAUGUCACAGUAACUGUGAUUCUGAGUGCAUUUAUUUCGUAAAAAUUAACAGGAUUUCUGGUAAUGUGACUACAUGGGAUUAAUGAGUAGUAUAAUGAGUAGUUAGUAGUAGCAAGUCUGGAAAGUGCUGCCAAGACAAGGGAGACUAAGGCAUGAAUUGCUUCUGGCACCAUGAUGUAGGGCAUCAUUAAGCAAGAGCUUAAUGCUAAAAAUGGCGAGAGUUAUCUACAGAAAGGCAGGCAGGAACAUCAUACUAUACUUUGUAGAUCGUAUACUGCUUUAUAAAACAGCUGGUUGUAAGGCUGUGUUAAUGAAAACUGUUUAAAAGACUCAAAAUCUCCACAUUGGCUGUGUGUACUGUAUAUUAUGUUGUCUCCAAACUUUGUUAAGAUUUUAAAAACUUCGUGAACAAGCUCACUAGCCACAUGCUCCACUUUUUUGUCUUUUAAUAGAACCUGAUCUGCCACAUUCAUUUAAAACUGGACAAUCGGGAAAGAGUUACUAGAUGGAGUAUUCUAGGUUGAUGUCCAUUGUAAUUUCAUGACAUGAAAAUUUCCGUAUUUGUAAAUUGCAGUUUCUAAUCAUAUUUGAGAAGCUUUAGACUAUGAUCUGUGUAUAACUGAUGCAGUAGCAUCUGUUUGAAUAUGCACACAGGAUGCUCCCACUCCUCAAAUUGCUGAAAGUUAACUCUUCUGCUGAUUGCAAAGGGGUAUUAAUUCCUAGCCCAAUUACUCCACACAAUAUGCAUCACUUCACAUGGGGUGCAGCACAAGCAGAUGCUGUGGUUGAUGCCAGGGUAUCUUGUAGCUUCCCAUUUGCUUUCCCUGAUGACUGCAGGAGAUUGGCUGACCACUAGGAGGUAAAACCUGCCUUCUUGAAAGAGAAGGAUCCUGUACCAGAACCACCACCAUAAGAUUUUGGGAUAGCUUCAUUCAGACCUUCACUGGGAGGAAUUUGCAUUGCGGAUGAUAACUCUUGAUAUAAAUUAAAGCAGGGAUCUUCUCAGGCACUGCUUUUUUACACAUAUUACCAUGAGUUGUUUUCUGUGAAAACUUUUAUUGCAAAUCAAAGAAAAAUCAGAGCCUAAAAUGACAUAAUUAAAUAACACUGGGUUAUAUUACCUACUAUUAAACAAAAAUAAUACAAUGAAAAUAACAAUCUUUUAAAGUAACUGCUCUUUGCAGAGUGUAUGUAUUAUGAAUAAUAAUGGAAACGAAGUCUCCAGGAAAAGAAAAUUAAUGUUAUUUUAAGAACUGUAACUAUGGAUCUCCUGACAUCUGAAUGAUUAAAACAUUAACAUUUCAUUAAAAGAUAUAAAAACUGUAUCUGAUAAACAAAAAUAAAUUCUGUGCAAAGAAUUCAUUACUUAUUUCUAUUAUUAGUGCUACUACAAUGAUGAUAACGUUAAAGCAUUUUGAAAGGAAUGAAUUUUUGCUUUAAGAGAAAGACUAGAUAACUUAGCAUAGAAGGCUAAUGCCAUCUUUUAUGUAGCAUGGUGGCAAAUCUCUCCAUAUACUCAGUAUUAAAAUCUACUUUGACCAAAAUUAAAAAAGAAAUUUCACUUACCAUAGAACUGUAAUCUAGGAUGCUUAUGCCAUCUUCAUGUACAGCAAACCAUAUGAAGGGCUUCUCGACUGAGGACGUUGCUAGAGGCUAUGAAGAGAAACGUUCUUUAAUUACUACUUCAAAAUGAGGCAAUAUGUAACUAAUUAUUAACUCUCCAUCCACAGAUCUUACUGAGAUCUACACUGGGAGGGAAAUGAUGGAAAGGAAUUGAAGUAGCUGCCCAAAGCCAUGUAGGCGGCCAGUGGCAGAACUAUGAACUCAACCUAAUAUUCUUGAAGCCUCCACUGGUGCUUAGUCCAAUAAAAUGUAUACUCUCAUUAAUAAAAUAAUAAAAAAAAAAAGGUCAGGUGUUUUAAAGCAUGUUCACUAGCACAUAUGUCUACAUAUGCAAAGAACAGAGUGCUGAUAAGCAAUUAUGUAUAUAUCUACUGGGAUUACCCAAUAAAACAUAAGGGGUGAGGUGACAGUUCUGUUUAACAUAGCUGUUAUUUGAAUCAAGAGAAUUAAGACACUAGCAGUUUAAGAGAAAUCGAGAGAGGCCAGCACAGAAGGGCAUGCUCUAAAUACCCUUAACAACAUUAGUGUUUCUCCAAGGUUCAGCUUCCAUAGCCAUGUUGCCUUUUAAAUAUUCUACUAGUUAUCAGGUAAAAAAGUCUGAAACAAAAAGGCUAUCUCAGACUAAGAUAUAAGAAAAUGAAAAGAUGCCACCUAGAUUAAUAAUGUAAAACAAGCAAUAAGUGCACUGGACAGUUACUAUUAUGGUAUACUUAGUACUAUGGCUAUUACAUUUCACCAAUAUAUGGCUUAAACAAGUUAGUAAUUUGACAGGAGAUUCAACCAGCACAUGUAUAACACACUAAUUUUCAACAAAAAAUGUAUUACUAUUUGCAAAUUGUAUUUAUAUUUUAAAAAAACGCACCACUCAAACUCAGUAAAGUUUCUUACUUUUGCUGCAAACAAUUUAGCACCAAAGAAAGACCAUUUUCUGGCUACAGUGAGAUAAAUGCGCACACAGUCUGCAGCACUGUGCCCUCGGAGAGCCAUCCAUCUUGUAGACAAUCGCUGACAAAGCUGUCUGUUCAAAUGCAAUAUGUAAUUUAGUUAUUGAAAGGAAUUUAAAUGCUUACCCAUAGCAAGUUUAAUGAGCAAAAAAAAAAUCCAUUUGUUAAAAUGAUAAUUUAAGUUAAUACAACAACUAUCACUUAUACAGUAUUAAAUAAAUCCAAAAUGUCAUUUAAUAUUUUUAUGCACAUGAAAAUUACGAAGUAUCUUUCUAAUUUCUGCAACAUUAUGAUUAAAUAUUGAUGCAGCAGUUGCAGCAUAAAGAGAAAAAGUCUAGUACAGCUUUUAAUGUGUCUCUACAGUUGAUCAAUCUACCUUUAUCAGUACUCAGCAGCUAUGCCAGCUGUCAUUGCAGAAAUCCAUCCAGCUUAGCACAUAUCUUUACCUGUGGCUAGCAGUAGAUGUGGAAGAUGCAGCUUAACACUAUUCUUUUUUAGCGUAUCUGGGCACUGCUACCAAAAAGGGUGCUUCUGAUGCAUGAUGCGUUCACACUGGCUCUUUUCUUUUGUGGUCCCAUGGUGAGUUGGUUCAAUAAAAUGAUCCUAAGGAGAACUAAUCCUCAAAAACGUAAAACCCCGAAAUACCUCUCUAGCACAUUGACUUGCAGGAAUGACUCACCUGGCAGCCACAAAACUAUCAGAUGCAGCCCAAGAUAAGGGAGGGGGAAUGUGUAGUAAAGGGAGAUCUUUCACUUGCAGCUUACCCUUACUAGAAGUUUAUGAAGUCAAACUGCCUCCUUAGCAAAAGAAUACAAGAAACAGGGUAGGUAUAGAGUGAGUCUUUCCCUGCCACAGAUGUCCAGGUCUGCAAUUGGUAGUUUAGGGACUACCUGAACAGUUCAGCAGGUGUUUGAAUUAAUCCUCCAUGAGUUAGUCUAAUCUAGGACCCACUAUACUUCAUCUUUGAAAUUAACUGCAUAACCUUCUAUUUGUUGUCUGUAUACUUUUGAAUGUCCCUAUUAUCUUCUGAGUAUGUAAUAACGUCAGUCUGUGCAUACGAUAAUAGCUUUAAACUUUCUCAACCCUGUACUGAAGAAUGGGGAAAACAUUUCUAUGAUGUUCAGAAUUGCUAUGUCAUAUAUCAUUGACUUUGGAUAAUUUAUUACACUGUUCUGCUCUACUUUAUGUUAACAGAUGUUGACUGACUUGCAGAUUAUUAAUUUUAAAUUAAGUGAUACUUUCCUAGCAAGUCCACUAAGUUAAUGUAUUGCCAGUUUGGCUGGCUGCCAGAGAUUGCACAUUUGAAUAGCGAACACCCAGAUCAGAUCCUCAUGUCCUUUACUUUCACUAGGUCUUUAGUCUGUGUACAGACUUAAUUUAGAUUUGCUGAAUAAGAAAAAUAAGGAUUUCAAAAUUGCUGGGUUUUGUAACACUAUGUAGUAACUUGUGCAGCUUUUGCUGGAGUGAGUUCUUAAUGACUGCCCUCUGUUUAGAUUAGAAAUACACAGAGGGAAUGGGUUCUUCAAUUUAGCAAGAAUAUGAGUUUCAAACACAGGUUUAGGCAAAUACGGUGUAACAGUAAGUUGUACCUAAUGACAACUUAAAGCCUCCUCAUUUCACCCCUCAAUUUUUUGAGAACAUGAAUCGCCAAAAUCAUCUCACCUUAACUGUUCCUCUGAACAACCAUGCCUGUAUCUCUUAGGAUAGAAUUUCUCCAAAACUUGUUUUAAUGUUUGAUUGGACUUGGACUGGGAAGUGACUUGCCCUGCUGGAGUUGAGAAAGGCCGUUCAAAAUCUCCAAUCUCAAUCUAAGGGAAAGACCACAGAGAAGAAAAUUUUUUGUUGCUCCAGAGCGAUUUUCUAGCUGGGAUCUCCAACCCAGUAUGAAUGACUCUUUGGACCUCAAAUAGUCAUCUUUUGGGGCUAUACAGGAAACAUUAAUUGAAAUCUCUAAAUGCAUCUUGGACUCCAAUUGCUUUUUAGUUUUAAAGGACUGUGAUUAGUAACAGCUUACUUUUUCCUUUAUAACCCGGCUGCUACUUCUAUGAAUAAUAUCAGUCUCCUAGACAAAGCUUUUAAAUAUAGUUCAGCGAAUGAAUUUCAGCAAUUGAAAGAGUGAUGUUCUUGUUUUUAAUCUUUCGUUUUACGUUAUGAGGAAAAAAACCUGAAGACAGUUUUCAGCCUGAAAAAUGUUUUCCUUUAUAUUGUGUGAAGAGGGAUCUGUAAAAUGAAGAUAUUUUGGUGUUUUCUGUGCAGAGCUUCUUAAAGGCUUUUGUUUACCUUGAUGUUUCCUUGAAGACAGUGCUCUAUAUCUUUGCCAGAGGGAUCAUCAGAAAACAGUGCAAAUCCUGACUGAGCUGGUUUCCUCAUCCCUGUAUCCUGGUUUAGGGUGUUCAGAAAUUCCUCCACUGUGGUAGAUGCAUCAAAUCCAACAACCUAAAAAAGCAGCCAAAAUGUAUGUUACUAUCAAACUUAUUAAAAAAACCCACCCUCUUUGUGUCAUUUGCCCCCCCCCAAUCUAAGAUAUUGAAGGGUAACACCUCUAGAAUAAAUGUGGCAAUGUAAAACACAUUCCAUUGCCUGUGAAUAACUUAUUGUCAUUGCAAAUAAGGGUUUGGAAAAGAUUAAAGAUCUCAUGGGAAGUCAAUUUAGUGUUUUCCUCCAUCCAAAAAUUUACAAACUUCACAGCAGGUUAUACCUUACUGCAUUUUGUUUAUGAAACCAAAGUCACUAUCAAAAAGCUUCUAAAUGUAGUAAUUUUUAUUUUAUUUUCUUUGUUUAUACCAGUUCCUUUGCACUUGCUUCGCUUGUAUUUCUGUCACAUAAUUUGUAUAACAGAAAGCAGUUUAGUAUCUGAUCUUGUGACAAAUAUCACUUGAAAAAUGAAGAAAACUGUAAUUUCCUACACUUUUCAAUAGGUGAUGAAACAAAUGAGAUCAAUUAAUCAUUUUUCAUCAUGUGCAACUUGAGAGGGGUGUUUACUGGCAGCACUACAUUGGCAGAUCCAAAAUAUUUUACAUAUUGCUCUGUCAGUGCUACAUAAGCCAGUAAUAUAGAGAGCCUUCUACGUUUUUCUUUUCCGAAUCCAAAUUUUUGUCUGUUGUUACUUGUAUUAAAACAUUUUAGCAGGAGAUGGCAAAUGGCUUUCAUACAGAUGGUAGUUGCUGAUGUUCACUUAUAUCUACUUUGAGGGUGUUUUCCUGUAUUUGAUAUGUUCAAGAAGGCCCCUUGCCUCUUUUUUUGUAAAGAAAUAUCUUGAAAAGGGAUUUCGGACUUCUACUUUGGGCUUUUCAGUGGUUGGAAUUUAAAACAAUACCUGUGGAAUCUAGCUUUAGAGAUGACUGCAAGAGUUUUCAAUACCACUAUAACUGGUUAUUUGCUGAUCCCAAUGAAGUAAUGUAUUUAAGUUACAAUUUUCAUGACUCUUAAGUAUACAUUUUUGAGCAAUAAAUAACUAAUGAGCAGUUA
Phalacrocorax carbo (great cormorant) is the source of this 7090-nucleotide non-coding RNA. The record is from RefSeq and is a predicted model, not a curated record. Lineage: Eukaryota; Metazoa; Chordata; Aves; Suliformes; Phalacrocoracidae.